AUACUACUCCCUCCGUCCGAAAAUACUUGUCAUCAAAAUGGAUAAAAAAGGUUGUAUUUAGAACUAAAUACAUAUAGAUACAUCCGCUUUUGUUCAUUUUGAUGACAAGUAUUUCCGGACGGAGGGAGUAUUUC
Molecule: non-coding RNA, 134 nt
Organism: Triticum aestivum (bread wheat)
Lineage: Eukaryota; Viridiplantae; Streptophyta; Magnoliopsida; Poales; Poaceae
Source: Rfam